GACGAACGCUGGCGGCGUGCUUAACACAUGCAAGUCGAACGGUGAACUCCGCUUGCGGGGGGAUCAGUGGCGAACGGGUGAGUAACACGUGGGCAACCUGCCCUCAGCUCUGGGAUAACUCCAAGAAAUUGGGGCUAAUACCGGAUAUGACCGCUGACCGCAUGGUCUGGUGGUGGAAAGAUUUAUCGGCUGGGGAUGGGCCCGCGGCCUAUCAGCUUGUUGGUGGGGUAGUGGCCUACCGAGGCGACGACGGGUAGCCGGCCUGAGAGGGUGACCGGCCACACUGGGACUGAGACACGGCCCAGACUCCUACGGGAGGCAGCAGUGGGGAAUAUUGCGCAAUGGGCGAAAGCCUGACGCAGCGACGCCGCGUGGGGGAUGACGGCCUUCGGGUUGUAAACCUCUUUCAGCAGGGACGAAGCGAAAGUGACGGUACCUGCAGAAGAAGCACCGGCCAACUACGUG
RNAcentral lists this ribosomal RNA (465 nucleotides) under uncultured bacterium. Its description in RNAcentral is "partial 16S ribosomal RNA". It matches the Rfam family "Bacterial small subunit ribosomal RNA", at positions 28 to 507 of the family's 1533-position model. The record is from RNAcentral.